AUGGGUGAUGUGGGGACCCCUCCACGCCACCGUUUGCUAUGGGGAGGAAAGCGUGAAAGUGUAAACAAGGAGGUAACUUCAAAGGCAAGCUGGCCUCACGGGACACCUGGGGACAUCAGCCCGGCUCGGCACGCCGUGAGAUUAUUUUUGCACCUCCAGUGGGACGCGGAGCUGGGAGCUGGGAGCUGGGAGCUGGGAGCUGGGAGCUGGGAGCUGGGAGCUGGGAGCUGGGAGCUGGGAGCUGGGAGCUGGGAGCUGCAGCUGAGCCACCCGUCCUGGGCUGGGAGGCUCCUGGGUCUCCUGUCCCCAUCUGUGUUGGCUUCCCCAUCGCACCUAUCUCCCUGUGCAGAGAGACCUUGUUCCAGUGCCACAUCCCCACUGUGCCCAUGUCCCCACCGGGGCCACCCAUGCCACGCCGGAGCCCUGCGGCCAGCCAGGCCCCCGCAGCAAGUCACGGCCUCGCUUCUCAAGGUGCCCAGCGCACCCAAAUUCACCCCCAGCUCCCCAGCGUGCCCAUUUUUUUUCCGAGGAUGCUCCCGGCCGUGGCAGGGAUUUGGCAGGGCUCCCCACCCCCCUCCAUCCCCUCUAUCUUCCCUCCUCAUCUUUCCGCAGCCGCCUUUCCCCCCGCGCUGCCGCAGGAAGGCAACACCUUCCUUAUCUCCUUCCGACCGUUGGUCCGGACCCGCUGCCCCUUCCCCCCCUCUCCGGCCUUGUUUUUCUGAAGUGUCCCUGCAUUUCCCCCCAGAGACUCCUCGGCCCAGCAUUUCCCUCCUCCGAGGGAAAAGGGAAAUCUCCAACAGCCGGAUAGAAAGUCCGCAGCUCCCGUCGCCGCUGGCAAGGCGCCCCGCGUCUAUUUCCGCGCCUGGCCGCCGCGCCUGGGAGGAAGCUGCCCAUGCUUGGGCUACUAAAAAAACAAAACGGGGCUCCCUCUGCCCCCCUUCAGGGCCAGUUUACUUAGGGUUGGUAGCCGGGAGGAUAGAGAGGGGGGUGAGGAGAAGGAGGGGUGGACGGGUGGAUGGAUAA
RNAcentral lists this long non-coding RNA (1023 nucleotides) under Anser cygnoides (Swan goose). RNAcentral describes it as "lncRNA (ENSACDG00005003846.1)". The record is from RNAcentral. Lineage: Eukaryota; Metazoa; Chordata; Aves; Anseriformes; Anatidae.